Molecule: RNA transcript, 358 nt
Organism: Mastomys coucha (southern multimammate mouse)
Lineage: Eukaryota; Metazoa; Chordata; Mammalia; Rodentia; Muridae
Gene name: cytochrome c oxidase copper chaperone pseudogene
Exons: 1
Source: RefSeq, a predicted model, not a curated record
GAGCUUUGAGCAUGUGUGCUCGUAGUCGCUUUUGCCUGGAAAGAUGCCGGGCUUGGCGGCCGCUAGCCUUGCCCCGCCUGAGGCUCAGGAGAGGCAGCCUCUGAAGCCCUGGUGUGCCUGCCCAGAGACUAAGAAGGAGCGAGAUGCCUGCAUCAUUGAGAAAGGAGAAGAACACUGUGGACAUCUCAUUAAGGCCCACAAGGAGUGCAUGAGAGCGCUGGGAUUUAAGAUAUGACAUGGUAGCCUACUUUGUGAAUGAAGAAUCCCUGAAGAAUGAAGAAGAUUAAAUAUUUUGGAAGUUCUUUGAUGAACUUUGAUAAGCAGAUAAAAUAUUUAUAAUUUAUUUUAAAAAAGGAAA